RNAcentral lists this ribosomal RNA (253 nucleotides) under uncultured bacterium. Its description in RNAcentral is "partial 16S ribosomal RNA". It matches the Rfam family "Bacterial small subunit ribosomal RNA", at positions 524 to 776 of the family's 1533-position model. The record is from RNAcentral.
UACGUAGGGUGCAAGCGUUGUCCGGAAUUAUUGGGCGUAAAGAGCUCGUAGGCGGUUUGUCGCGUCGGCUGUGAAAACCCGGGGCUCAACCCCGGGCCUGCAGUCGAUACGGGCAAACUAGAGUGUGGUAGGGGAGACUGGAAUUCCUGGUGUAGCGGUGAAAUGCGCAGAUAUCAGGAGGAACACCGGUGGCGAAGGCGGUUCUCUGGGCAUGUUCUGACGCUGAGGAGCGAAAGUGUGGGGAGCGAACAGG